GACGAACGCUGGCGGCGUGCCUAAUACAUGCAAGUAGAACGCUGAAGGAGGAGCUUGCUUCUCCGGAUGAGUUGCGCACGGGUGAGUAACGCGUAGGUAACCUGCCUGGUAGCGGGGGAUAACUAUUGGAAACGAUAGCUAAUACCGCAUAACAGUAGAUAUUGCAUGAUAUCUGCUUGAAAGGUGCAAUUGCAUCACUACCAGAUGGACCUGCGUUGUAUUAGCUAGUUGGUGGGGUAACGGCUCACCAAGGCGACGAUACAUAGCCGACCUGGGAGGGUGGACCGGCAACAUGGGACCUGGACACCGCCCCAGCCUCUAAGGGGGGGAGCAGGAGGGGAACUUCGGCAAUUGACGGAAGGCCGAACGGGCAACGGCGGGGGGGGGGAGGAGGUUUUCGGAUCGGAAAGAUCUGUUGUAAGGGAAGAACGAGUGUGGGAGUGGAAAGUUCACACUGUGACGGUAUCUUACCAGAAAGGGACGGCUAACUACGUG
This 495-nucleotide ribosomal RNA is filed under the name uncultured bacterium. Its description in RNAcentral is "partial 16S ribosomal RNA". It matches the Rfam family "Bacterial small subunit ribosomal RNA", at positions 28 to 507 of the family's 1533-position model. The record is from RNAcentral.